Molecule: unclassified non-coding RNA, 253 nt
Filed under: uncultured Gammaproteobacteria bacterium
Lineage: Bacteria; Pseudomonadati; Pseudomonadota; Gammaproteobacteria
Description: contains 16S-23S intergenic spacer region
Rfam family: Bacterial small subunit ribosomal RNA
Source: RNAcentral
UACAGAGGGUGUAAGCGUUAAUCGGAAUUACUGGGCGUAAAGCGCGCGUAGGCGGUUUGGUAAGUUGAAUGUGAAAGCCCCGGGCUCAACCUGGGAACUGCAUCCAAGACUGGCCGGCUAGAGUACAGUAGAGGGUGGUGGAAAUUCCUGUGUAGCGGUGAAAUGCGUAGAUAUAGGAAGGAACACCAGUGGUGAAGGCGACCACCUGGACUGAUACUGACACUGAGGUGCGAAAGCGUGGGGAGCAAACAGG